Molecule: unclassified non-coding RNA, 153 nt
Filed under: uncultured Lecanoromycetes
Lineage: Eukaryota; Fungi; Ascomycota; Lecanoromycetes
Description: sequence contains ITS1
Source: RNAcentral
CCGAGUGAGGGCCUCCGGGCUCGACCUCCAACCCAAUGUUGACCAACACCCGUUGCCUCGGGGGUGACCCGGACGCCGACGCGUCGGCGUCGGGCCCCCGACGGACCCUUCAAACUCUGUGUCUGUACGUCGGAGUAUAAAGUAAAUCAAUUA